UACGAGGGGGGCGAGCGUUGUUCGGAAUUAUUGGGCGUAAAGGGUGCGUAGGCGGUUCCGCAAGUCCUGUGUGAAAUCUUCGGGCUCAACUCGAAGUCUGCACGGGAAACUGCGGGGCUUGAGUGUGGGAGAGGUGAGUGGAAUUCCCGGUGUAGCGGUGAAAUGCAUAGAUAUCGGGAGGAACACCUGUGGCGAAAGCGGCUCACUGGACCUAACUGACGCUGAUGCACGAAAGCUGGGGGGAGCAAACAGG
Molecule: ribosomal RNA, 253 nt
Filed under: uncultured bacterium
Lineage: Bacteria
Description: partial 16S ribosomal RNA
Rfam family: Bacterial small subunit ribosomal RNA
Source: RNAcentral